Molecule: ribosomal RNA, 872 nt
Filed under: uncultured Bacteroidota bacterium
Lineage: Bacteria; Pseudomonadati; Bacteroidota
Description: bacterial SSU rRNA
Rfam family: Bacterial small subunit ribosomal RNA
Source: RNAcentral
GGUACCGGUUGAAUAAGGACCGGCUAACUCCGUGCCAGCAGCCGCGGUAAUACGGAGGGUCCAAGCGUUAUCCGGAUUCACUGGGUUUAAAGGGUGCGUAGGCGGUCAGGUAAGUCAGUGGUGAAAGCCUCCAGCUCAACUGGAGAAUGGCCAUUGAAACUACUUGACUUGAGUACAGUCGGAGCGGGCGGAAUGUAGCAUGUAGCGGUGAAAUGCAUAGAUAUGCUACAGAACGCCGAUCGCGAAAGCAGCUCGCUAGUCUGUUACUGACGCUGAGGCACGAAAGUGUGGGGAGCGAACAGGAUUAGAUACCCUGGUAGUCCACACCGUAAACGAUGAACACUCGGAGUUUGCCACUUAGUGGUACGCUCCCAAGCGAAAGCGAUAAGUGUUCCACCUGGGGAGUACGGCCGCAAGGCUAAAACUCAAAGGAAUUGACGGGGGCCCGCACAAGCGGAGGAGCAUGUGGUUUAAUUCGAUGAUACGCGAGGAACCUUACCUGGGCUAUAAUGCCUGUGGCAGCUCUGGAAACAGAGUUUUCCUCCGGGACACAGUGCAAGGUGCUGCAUGGCUGUCGUCAGCUCGUGCCGUGAGGUGUUGGGUUAAGUCCCUCAACGAGCGCAACCCCUAUUCUUAGUUGCCAUCAUUUCGGGUGGGCACUCUAAGAAAACUGCCUGCGUAAGCAGCGAGGAAGGAGGGGAUGACGUCAAGUCAUCAUGGCCCUUACACCCAGGGCUACACACAUGCUACAAUGGCUGGUACAAAGGGAAGCCACUUGGUAACAAGGAGCUAAUCCCAAAAGCCAGUCCCAGUUCGGAUUGGAGUCUGCAAUUCGACUCCAUGAAGCUGGAUUCGCUAGUAAUCGUGGAUCA